This 3037-nucleotide long non-coding RNA is filed under the name Capsicum annuum. RNAcentral's name for it is "long non-coding RNA (CANN_LNC010615)". The record is from RNAcentral. Lineage: Eukaryota; Viridiplantae; Streptophyta; Magnoliopsida; Solanales; Solanaceae.
UCAAGUUGAAGAAAAUACAAAAAAACCUGCAAAUAUAACAAAAAGAAAUAAUUGAAGAGUUGGUGAUCGAAAAAUUUAAAAAGCAAAUCUUCAUGAAUAUUUUUUAAUGUUGUUGUUUCUCUAUCUCUCUAUUUAAAGAGUCCUUAAAUAAGGAAAGAAUUAAUGCACAAUAUUAGUUGGUUUAAAAGUCCUAAAUUACAUAUUUUAAAUAAGGUAAAAAUUAAUUUGCAGUUCAUUAGGUUUCAAAGUCUAAAUCGGAAAAAUAAUUAAAUUAUUAAUUUUAAAAUAUAAAAUAUUAUGAAAAGACGAUUUUGUCUGAAUAGAGACUUUUAAGGAAGGGGAAAAAGUUCGAAUCACUUUUCUAAGGGCCUUCACACUUUUAAUAUACUAGUUCUUCGACACAUGCGUUGCAUGUGUGUACCAAAUUAUGUGGUAUAUGAUUAGUAAAUUAAGAUUAUAUCAUGAAAUAAAAUAUUAAAUAAAUAGUUAUACAUGAAGAGAAUGCAAGUUCCUAUGAAUUACCAAUAUGGGUCACUGUAUAGUGUGACCUGUUAGUUGAGGUUAAGAUAAUUGGACAUCAUCUGAAGCAAUAAAGAUGCAUAAUCAAUGUUUCAUUAGGUAUAUUUGAUUUAUUUAUUUUAAUUUAUAAAUUAUAAACAUGUAAUAAAGAGUAUCUUAUCAAAUACUCACAUAUAAACACCAUUCUUGUCAUAAUCCUUCUUGUAAUUAUUAUGAUUAUUGUCAUUUGAGUAGGUCAUCUUCUAAUCAUUAAUUGAUAUCCUACUAUUUUCAUAAUAAUUGAUGGGGUUGAUUUAUAUUACUUGAGUUAUAUGAUCCCAUGAUCAUUUACUUGAUCAAUAAAAAUACAGACGACAAAAAGAAAAAUACAAAAUCAGUCCAUUGCUCCAUAAAUCUGCUUUCAAAUACCUCAAUGUUUACAAUUUUUGAACUGCAAUAUCAUUCUUAGAAACAUUAUUUGAAUUAAAUUUUCUUCUAAUAUAAUUCUUCUAUUCAGCCUAUUCUAUACCCAACCCAACUAACCCAACAAAUCCGUUUUCUAAUACCCUUUCAAUUGGAGGCUUGUUGAUGGGAAAACAACUUCAUCUAUGAAACAUAAACUAUAAUUUAAAACACAAGACACAAAUCGUUCAACAACAAUGAUUAACUUAUGUUAUUCUUAAAUUUCUUGAAAUUUCUUUAUGCUAGCGACACAUUACACACAGUCAACAAUGAAUAAAGAAAAAUAUCAGUUAGAGAUCAACACCUCUUAAAAGAGUAAUUUACAAGAUGUUACCAAGGAAAAAUCGAUCUUGACAUUGAUAAAAUGUUAUUUGACUUAUAGGAAGGACCUCCAUUGCCCCUCCCAUUUCUGCUAUCGUCCAACAACCUUGACAACUUUGGCACGGACUUGACUUCUCCUUGCUUCAUGAUAUGAAAUAAGACCAUAACCAUACAUCAUCUGAACAUCAAAAAACCAUCAAAUAUUUUACCUCAUGUGGUCUGGAAAGGGUGUUAGGAGAUGUGUUUAUCGGGGUAAUUGGGUCAGGUAGAAGCAUUAUACUUAAAAAAAAAAUUCAUUAGGAAAAAAAUUAUAUCCACAUAGGUGUCAUGUAGUCGUCACAUAAGAUAAUAAGGGUAUUCUACUUUAAUGCAUAUCACUAUAUCAGCUAGUUUGUCAAUUAAAUUAUAUUCACAAAAGACCUUGGAGUCUUUGUAUCUUAACAGUUGGGAUAAUAAUCAAUGAAGCGAAAGGUAGAAAAUCAUAGCAUUAAAGCAAAAUAAAAUCAGUAUCAUGGAUAGGUCUAUAGAAGUCCAAUACUUCAGGCUUCAGCCUAUAAUUAUUGGAGGCAAAGUAUAUCAAGAACCAAAUUCACUUGCUAAAUCAGUGCCAGCUAUUUCUUGAUCAUAAUUCCAUCUUUGUUUCAACAAUCAGAUUAAAGAAUGAUUUCAAAGUAAUUAAAAUGUCUCAUGUAGAGCUUAGACUUGCCAAUGUCACUUCUGGAGCUAUUAAUGCACUGCAAGUUGAACCAUAAACAAUGGCAUCAUUAGAAUCUUCUUGUGAAAACAAGACAGGUCAUACUAAUUAACUUGAAGGAUGAACAUCCUCCAUUGCAAACUAUAGUAGUUAACAGGUGUGAAAUUAACACUUACAUCUUGGAAUGGUUGUGUGGACACUGCAAGCAUCAGAACCUACACUGCUUGUAGUGAAUACAGGAGCUGUAGCUGCCUUUACAACAACAGUUUCAUGUUGAAUGGUGUGUGGACCCAUGACAGUAUCUACAGCUCCGUGUGCACAAUACAUCCAGUACAAAAUUAAGUCCAUCCCUGUAGAACAUAAUAAUCACUUCUUUAAGUAUCUUUGCACAACAAAAUAUGAUUAAAGAAUUGGUUUAAGUUUUCUACACACUGAAGACAUGAGAGUUAACAAUCUAAAAGCAAAUAUGUGCCCUAAAAGCAAUCGAUGAUCAGCAUAUGCUAGUAUAAAUAUACAAGAUUGUAACUUCUUAGCAUAUUAUAGAGCAGGAAAAGACAGUUAUGUUAAAAAUGAUAUAUAUACGUCUUAUGUUGCCUAUCAUGAUUUGUGCUAAUUAAAGACUUUAGAUCUUAGAAUUGAUUCUAUCAUUAUUUAAGUAAGCGAUCAUCAAAUAUCAUUGUUAAAUUAAUAAAUUGCUUAAAAUUUAACUGAGAGCAUUGCUUGCGUAAACCCAUUCAAAAAGAUGAUGUAAUAGAAUGACAUGAUUGAAACGGGAAUAAAUUCCAACCAAAAAAGCCCCUAAAUCCAGUUUCUCAAAGAGUUUGUAGAUUUAAAAAGAUAGGAUAAGUUUCUGCUUUGUGAACAUCGUGAACGUACACGUAGAGUUCACCAGAAAUAAUUAUUGCCAAGAACUAAUCUAUGAGAAUACAUGGAUGCAAUGGAGCAGAACCGAAAAUCUAAUGAACCAAGACUAAAUCUACGAAUCUAAUAAAGAGAAAGUACCAUCUCAGAUUUGUUACUUGAGGAGAACGGAAAAACUGGGGAGAUUUGGGUAAAUAGACA